CCUACGGGUGGCAGCAGUGGGGGAUAUUGCACAAUGGGGGAAACCCUGAUGCAGCGACGCCGCGUGUGGGAAGACGGUCCUCUGGAUUGUAAACCACUGUCCCCAGGGCCGAAGAUGACGGUACCUGGGGAGGAAGUUCCGGCAAACUACGUGCCAGCAGCCGCGGUAAUACGUAGGGAGCGAGCGUUGUCGGGAAUUACUGGGUGUAACGGGAGCGUAGGCGGGGAUGCAGGUUGUGGGUCAAAAGUACCGGCUAAACUGGUAGUCACACUCAAAACUGGAGCUCUUGAGUGAAGUAGAGGCAGGCGGAAUUCGUGGUGUAGCGGUGAAAUGCGUAGAUAUUAGGAGGAACACCAGUGGCGAAGGCAGCCUGCUGGGCUUUUACUGACGCUGAGGCUCGAAAGUGUGGGGAGCAAACAGGAUUAGAUACCCCAGUAGUC
This 440-nucleotide ribosomal RNA is filed under the name uncultured bacterium. Its description in RNAcentral is "partial 16S ribosomal RNA". It matches the Rfam family "Bacterial small subunit ribosomal RNA", at positions 338 to 795 of the family's 1533-position model. The record is from RNAcentral.